ACUGCUCAGUAACACGUGGAUAACCUGCCCUUGGGUCCGGCAUAACCCCGGGAAACUGGGGAUAAUUCCGGAUAACGCAUAUAUGCUGGAAUGCUUUAUGCGUGAAAUGGAUUCGUCUGCCCAAGGAUGGGUCUGCGGCCUAUCAGGUAGUAGUGGGUGUAAUGUACCUACUAGCCUACGACGGGUACGGGUUGUGAGAGCAAGAGCCCGGAGAUGGAUUCUGAGACAUGAAUCCAGGCCCUACGGGGCGCAGCAGGCGCGAAAACUUUACAAUGCGGGAAACCGUGAUAAGGGGACACCGAGUGCCAGCAUCCUAUGCUGGCUGUCCGGGUGUGUAAAAUACACCUGUUAGCAAGGGCCGGGCAAGACCGGUGCCAGCCGCCGCGGUAACACCGGCGGCCCGAGUGGUGAUCGUGAUUAUUGGGUCUAAAGGGUCCGUAGCCGGUUUGGUCAGUCCUCCGGGAAAUCUGACAGCUCAACUGUUAGGCUUUCGGGGGAUACUGCCAGACUUGGAACCGGGAGAGGUAAGAGGUACUACAGGGGUAGGAGUGAAAUCUUGUAAUCCCUGUGGGACCACCUGUGGCGAAGGCGUCUUACCAGAACGGGUUCGACGGUGAGGGACGAAAGCUGGGGGCACGAACCGGAUUAGAUACCCGGGUAGUCCCAGCCGUAAACGAUGCUCGCUAGGUGUCAGGCAUGGCGCGACCGUGUCUGGUGCCGCAGGGAAGCCGUGAAGCGAGCCACCUGGGAAGUACGGCCGCAAGGCUGAAACUUAAAGGAAUUGGCGGGGGAGCA
This 795-nucleotide ribosomal RNA is filed under the name uncultured archaeon. RNAcentral's name for it is "bacterial SSU rRNA". It matches the Rfam family "Archaeal small subunit ribosomal RNA", at positions 85 to 878 of the family's 1478-position model. The record is from RNAcentral.